RNAcentral lists this long non-coding RNA (708 nucleotides) under Bos mutus (wild yak). Its description in RNAcentral is "lncRNA (ENSBMUG00000010539.1)". Lineage: Eukaryota; Metazoa; Chordata; Mammalia; Artiodactyla; Bovidae. The record is from RNAcentral.
CUGCUCGCAGUUCAGUAGGAAGGGAAGUGACCCAGGGAUGGGACAUUGCCCUGAGUGUCUGCUUGCAAUUAAGAUCUUAGAAUACUCAGGCAUUUCUAUGUGUUUACAGUGAUCCAAGACCCCACUAGGAACUUUUUCACCAAACCCAAAGAAGAGAUGAGGCAAGGUCUGUACUGGGCGGAGAUCCUUUGGAGUGAGGCUACUGUACACAGGUGUGAAAGUGAGCCAUUUUCUUCUCUUCGGCAGAUAUUGCCUCUUAUUCAUCACUCCACUGAAGCUAAUCAGUAACCAAAGACCAUGUGACUCAAAAGGACCUGAAAGGCUGAUGAUCCUUGUAAAUUAGAGGAAUGCAGUCUCCCUAGGUAAAAUCUCUGUCUCUCUCGGAAUAGAACUCUGCUCUUUGUGAGUGCCCCACAGCCUAAAAUGAAUGGUACUGCUGAGAUGAAGACACUCAUCCGUCAGACUCAGGCAUUGUGGGUCAGAGACCUGUGGGGCCUCUUUGGUCCUGUUCCACUUGCUGGUUGCCUGAGGUUGUAGUUUUGUGCCCAGUUGCCUGGAUACCCCUAGUGAUGUCCUGUCCUUAUCGUCUUAUCUGUCUCUUGUCCUCCUUUAGCCAACACCUCAUCUCCAUACUAUCAAGGAAUUCUUCCAGAAUUUAUGAGCGAAUUUCCCAUCUAUUUGGGCAGAGGAAAAAUAGUUAGGUUUUCU